This 64-nucleotide transfer RNA is filed under the name Penicillidia dufourii. Its description in RNAcentral is "tRNA-Ala". The record is from RNAcentral. Lineage: Eukaryota; Metazoa; Arthropoda; Insecta; Diptera; Nycteribiidae.
AGGGUUGAAGUUUUUAACAAUUGAUUUGCAAUCAAUAAAUUAUUGAAUUUUUCAAUCUACCUUA